This is a non-coding RNA of Durio zibethinus, 1035 nucleotides long. The record is from RefSeq and is a predicted model, not a curated record. NCBI's taxonomy places the organism in Eukaryota, Viridiplantae, Streptophyta, Magnoliopsida, Malvales, Malvaceae.
GCUAUCCAUUUUCCACCCUCUUUCUCUCUCUGCGGAAACCAAGCCCAGGUUUCUUCGAGGUAUGAAAAACAUUCUCAGCUCCUAAAAGAGACUUCUGUUUUGCAAGAAUUCAUUCUUUUUCCGUUUCUCUCAUUUCAAUGCUUCCAAAUUCCUGAUCAAUUAUUGUUCUUUCUUCUAUCUUUUUAGUCCAUUAAUGGUUUGUGAUCAGCUCUUUGUUUUAAAGCAGUUUGAUGAACAAGUUUAAAGAUAUUAUCAUGGACGCUAUCAUCGCUAAAACUGGCAUGGUUGACAGCAUAAUCCUAAGGAUAUUCUGCAGAAGAGAAAUCUUGAUGGACAAUGAUCAAUCCUUGGCAAGCUUCUUCAUAGCAAAGGCUUGUUGACCUGUCUUUUGGUGCUAUCCUACCUGAGCUUAUUAAAAAAACCACCCCCCUCUUCUUCACCUUGUUCCCUCUUUCUCCCUCCCACCAUAUUCUCUUCUUGACCUUGUAAGGCCUUUUCUGAACCUUGUAAGACCCCUGGCGAAAUCUGCUACUCUCUUUAUUAUUAUCUUGAAGGAUUCUUUACCAGAAUUCUUAUUUAGAGAGCUAAGCAAUUAGCAUCCGCUGUUCCCACCUAACCCACCAUCUCCUUCUCUGUCUAUCCCUCCUGAGCUAUAUAACAAGCAAAUCAUACUGCAGUGAAACCUAGGGUUUCCAUAUGUCAAAAUCCCCUAUAUAUAUCAGAAUUCAGAGUAAGCCAUUACCAUUGCCAUUGCAGCAGCUAGCUUAUAGCUUUAAAAGUGGCAUGGAAUGUCAAGUUUCAAUGUUAUGGCCUCAUGGUCAUGGGUUAUUCGUUGCUUUUAUUGUAAUAUAAAUAGAGGCAAAAAAAAAAAAUAGUGACAGAGAGUACUGAAAUGAUUGUGAGGCUUUUGCUCAUAAUCUAUCGUGGUUGUAGCAUCUUUUGUACACAUCUGAGAAAGCAUUAAAUCUCACUUUGUAUUAUUAUGACUGCAGGAAAUAGAAUUCAUGCCGGCAAUAGAGUUGUCAGAUUGUUUGA